This 938-nucleotide ribosomal RNA is filed under the name uncultured organism. Its description in RNAcentral is "bacterial SSU rRNA". It matches the Rfam family "Bacterial small subunit ribosomal RNA", at positions 22 to 960 of the family's 1533-position model. The record is from RNAcentral.
GCUCAGGAUGAACGCUAGCGGCAGGCCUAACACAUGCAAGUCGAGGGGUAAGGUUCAGCUUGCUGAAUACACGACCGGCGCACGGGUGAGUAACACGUUUGCAACCUUCCUCUAACUGGAGAAUAGCCCGAAGAAAUUCGGAUUAAUACUCCAUAAAGUCAAUUUAAGGCAUCUUUUAUUGAUUAAAGCUCCGGCGGUUAGAGAUGGGCAUGCGUGUCAUUAGCUAGUUGGUGAGGUAACGGCUCACCAAGGCCACGAUGACUAGGGGGUCUGAGAGGAUGAUCCCCCACACUGGUACUGAGACACGGACCAGACUCCUACGGGAGGCAGCAGUGAGGAAUAUUGGGCAAUGGACGCAAGUCUGACCCAGCCAUGCCGCGUGCAGGAUGACUGCCCUAUGGGUUGUAAACUGCUUUUGUUUGGGAAGAAACCCCCGAUCGUGAUCGGGGCUGACGGUACCAUACGAAUAAGCAUCGGCUAACUCCGUGCCAGCAGCCGCGGUAAUACGGAGGAUGCAAGCGUUAUCCGGAUUCAUUGGGUUUAAAGGGUGCGCAGGCGGAAUAUUAAGUCAGUGGUGAAAUCCUGCAGCUUAACUGUAGAACUGCCAUUGAUACUGAUAUUCUUGAAUAUAGUUGAGGUGGGCGGAAUGUGUAAUGUAGCGGUGAAAUGCUUAGAUAUUACACAGAACACCAAUUGCGAAGGCAGCUCACUAAACUAAUAUUGACGCUGAGGCACGAAAGCGUGGGUAGCAAACAGGAUUAGAUACCCUGGUAGUCCACGCUGUAAACUAUGAUCACUCGCUGUUGGCAAUACAUCGUCAGCGGCUGAGCGAAAGCAUUAAGUGAUCCACCUGGGGAGUACGGUCGCAAGAUUGAAACUCAAAGGAAUUGACGGGGGCCCGCACAAGCGGAGGAACCUGUGGUUUUAUUCGAUGAUAC